Molecule: transfer RNA, 83 nt
Filed under: Termitomyces sp. T159_Od127
Lineage: Eukaryota; Fungi; Basidiomycota; Agaricomycetes; Agaricales; Lyophyllaceae
Description: tRNA-Gly
Rfam family: tRNA
About the family: Transfer RNA (tRNA) molecules are approximately 80 nucleotides in length.
Source: RNAcentral
GCAUUAAUGGGGUAGUGGUAACCUGGGUCGUUGCCAUAUGAGUUGUACUCGACCCGCCGGGGGUUCGAUUCCCCCUUAAUGCA